CCUACGGGUGGCUGCAGUGGGGAAGAUUGGGCAAUGGGCGAAAGCCUGACCCAGCAACGCCGCGUGAAGGAAGAAGGCUUUCGGGUUGUAAACUUCUUUUGACAGGGAAGAGGAGAAGACGGUACCUGUCGAAUAAGCCACGGCUAACUACGUGCCAGCAGCCGCGGUAAUACGUAGGUGGCAAGCGGUGUCCGGAUUUACUGGGUUUAAAGGGCGUGUAGCCGGGCUGACAAGUCAGAUGUGCAAUCCGGGGGCUCAACCCCCGAACUGCAUGUGAAACUGUUUGUCUUGAGUAUCGGAGAGGCAGGCCGAAUUCCUCGUGUAGCGGUUAAAUCCGUAGAUAUU
This 345-nucleotide ribosomal RNA is filed under the name uncultured bacterium. Its description in RNAcentral is "partial 16S ribosomal RNA". It matches the Rfam family "Bacterial small subunit ribosomal RNA", at positions 338 to 698 of the family's 1533-position model. The record is from RNAcentral.